AACUUAAGUUGCACUUGAAAAUCAUCGUAGAUCUACGAGUGGUCUGGAGUAAUCGUUCAUUCAUAAGUGCAUCGUAAGACAACAGAGUUACAAGGUCACCUACAGGACAACCAGCAAAUUGCACUCCUGCAAUGACGAUAAUGUAAUGUUUUAAAGGGGACAUUCCAAGCUACUUUUUUUCAAACUAACAUGGUUCCCAGAGGUCUUUAUAAGAGAACUGUGUAAUUUGUUGGUCAAAAUACCGCAAGGAUGAAGCACCAUAUGUCUGUCUUCAACCUGCAAAAACAGCACUGUCUAGAAUGGCAGCUUUUGAGCGUUACCGCCUUAUUAUGAAAAUGAGCCCCUGCUGGCCACACCCCCAACUACGUCGAGUCCAAGCUACCAUGACAACCGUUCAGCAUGAAUCCUGAGGGAGAGAUGGCUUUUGGAGGUGAAGGAGCGGUACAGCCUUAUAUGUUUGAGCCUGAGUCAGACCCAGAGCAAGAAGAGGCUCCCGAACAAGUUUUGCAAUCGCGGAUGCAACAAGAUGUGUCUGAAUGGUAAGUUAUAAAGGUUUUGCCUGCAGUCACAUCUAAAUCUGUUUAGCUCAUACCGAACCUAUCGUACUGCUAUGUUUACCUAAGACGCUUACUUAUCUGUUUCGCCAAAAACCCACUGAAAGUGACAGAAGUGCACAAAUUGAUUUGUCUAUGUAACGUUAACGAUUAUUAAAGAUGAAUCUGUUGCCUUAAUUACAAUAAUAUAGUUAACGUUAAUAAAGUAGUUCACGUCCUGUUACCCCAAUAUAAUGUACGCAAACAUUGUUUUUAGACACGGUUCGAGUUACAGUGGGGGUUAUAUCGAUUCUAAAAUGCAUAGAUGAAUUCUCUCAAUUUUUAAAAUAUUUACGGUUUAUUAACAAAUUGCACACGUACUUUACAGACUACAUUCCCAGUAAUGUUUAUCAGGCAUUAUCAUUCGAACACUAAAUAUCUUAUGAGCAUAUUUUUUAUUAGUAGAUUAAAAGUACAAAUAAACUUUACAUACAUUUACAAUUUUUAUACCUCUUUCCUGGCCCAGGUGUACUUGUCACAACUGUGCUACUAUGCCUACAGAACCAGAAAAUGUAUGCUGCAUGGAAAUACCACAGGUGCAAAGAAGAUUACAACAAGUUGAGAAUCCUCCGGCAUGUAUGGUGGACCACCCUGGCCUUGAACCUGUGUGUCUAAAUGUAUUCUCUCUGCAGAAUGCAUAUAAUAUCUUUAGAGCUGACUAUGGGCCGUUACAUCUACGGGGAAUACAGCAUCGUUACAGAUAUUUGGCCUACAGAAGCUUUGUAAGCUGGGUUUGGGGCUUUCUGGGCCGGAAAAUAAGAGUGGUGAAUCCUUCAUGCGUAGUUCUACGCAUACGACGGGAAUUCCCCGACACUCAGGGAGCAUAUGUA
This is a non-coding RNA of Paramisgurnus dabryanus, 1423 nucleotides long. The record is from RefSeq and is a predicted model, not a curated record. Lineage: Eukaryota; Metazoa; Chordata; Actinopteri; Cypriniformes; Cobitidae.